Molecule: long non-coding RNA, 2759 nt
Filed under: Lupinus angustifolius (narrow-leaved blue lupine)
Lineage: Eukaryota; Viridiplantae; Streptophyta; Magnoliopsida; Fabales; Fabaceae
Description: long non-coding RNA (LANG_LNC000259)
Source: RNAcentral
UUGUUUUACUUAAAACAUUCCUUGUGUUGUUUCAGUUCAUUGGAAUUUGUGUAGGUUGCCCUAGUCAUUAAGUACCUUGUAUCAAUGUGUUUCAGUUAAUUUUCAUUGUUGCAAAUCUCAAUGUCAAGAUUAUUUCAAUGUAACUAUGUUUUGAAGGGUUUGUGAAUGUUUAUGGGUAAUUUUAUCCAAUAGCCUCCCAUGUUUUAAAUUGUAAUUAAGUUGUGUUUAUUACAAUUGUGGAAAAUUAUAAUUGAUAAGACUAUAAUUAUAAUCAUAACAUCAUUGUGAGACUCUCAAACUAACUAUAAUAUUAUAGUCAUAAUUUAAGUUAUAAAGUACAAUUUAAAAUAAUGACCCUCUAUGUCAACUGUGCAUGUCAAUUUUAAAUUGAUAUGAAGUUUUAUUUUAUUAAUAUUCCUUUGUAAAAGUUGGUAGUUGUCUUUUAUUGUAAUACUUUAGUUAUAAUUGUCCAUACGUCAUAAAGUUCGAUUCAGUUGCUACUAACUCAUCCUAAACAUUAACAUAGUUGUACAAAAUGCUAGCAGAUUAUUAUAUGGUACACAUACCUUGUGUCUUUAUAAGUACAUAAUUAGUUUCAGAGUUAAUUUUCAAAUGUCUUCAUAAAAACAGAUUUAGUUGUAUUAUAUUAUCUAGAAAACAAUUUACACUAUUAAUCAUUUAUAUAUUACCAUAUCAUUAAAAAUAUUUAACUUGUUAUCUUAAUUAAUUAUAUUUUAAGUCACACUUAUAGUAAUUUAUAAUUGGUUUGUAGUGUAAAAACUUUUAUUAAACUUAAAUGGAUAUAACAAUAAUUAUCAAACAAAAGGAGUGCUAGCAAUAAAUCCUCUAACACACUUGUUCUCUACUAGAACAUAAAGAUAUAGACAAUGGUUGAUCAGUUGUUGAGGAGGGAGAAGAGGAUAAUCGUCAAAGUAGCAGGAUGAGGUAGGAGAGCUGGAUUGAAGAAUGUGCUUCAAGUUGCUUUUGUAGCAAUCAUUUAGCAUUUGUCAUCAUUUAUUAAAGCAUCUUUAAGAAUUUUGCUACUUGCAGACUAAAUUGUGUACCCCAACUUUACAUUGAUUAUGCAACAAUGUUAUUACAAGUUUGAUCAUACUAGUAAAAUUGUACAACUUCUUUAUAAAGCAGAAGGGCAAAAAUAAGAAGAAUUUUUUUAUACGAGGCUUAUUUCUUUUCUUAAAAGAAAGUUAUACAAAAUUGACAUAACUAAUUGAAGUUCACUCCAUAAUAUACCCAUUAACAUUCUAAUAAUUGGUUAUUAUUCUUAAUUAUUACAAAUGAUUCAUAUGAUUUUUUUAGUUUUGUUAGUUUUUGGAACACAUCAAGGUCAAAUUAGACCUUAGUGAUAAAAAAUGUUAUUGUGACAUAAUUUUAGAUAUUUAUUCAUCGAUGAGGGAUCAUAUUUAUAAUGAGAUUAAGACUUAUCAUUUCUCAUCUCAUUUUAGAAUAUGACUUAUGAGUCUAAUCCACUUAAUAUUAAGUUUUUGUACUACUAAGGGUAUUCUUUUAUAUUUUUAGGUAAAGAACUAAUCUCUUUUGGGUUUCGUUGCUGGCUCUCAAUAAGUAUAAUUCCCAGGAAUCAAAUAUUAAAUCUUAAGAAUCUAAUGAAGCCUUAAACCACUAGAUCAACGCCUUUUUGAUUACUAAUACCAUUUUAGAUAUGACUUAUGAGUCCAAUGAGUAACUUUGUAUCACACCAUAAUUAAUCCAACAACUUGCAACAAAAGCUCCUCCUAUAUAUAACAUAGCUAUGCAACUAGCUAAUCCCACAUUCCCACCCAACAACACAAAAAAUCAUACAACAAAAAUGCUUCACAUUCUUCUCCUCCUCCUUCCUCUUCUCUUAUCCAUUUCCAAUGCUUCUGUCAAUGAUUUCUGUGUAGCAGACCUUAAUGGUCCAGAUGGUCCUUCAGGCUAUCCCUGCAAGCCUCCUACAAAAGUAACCACACAUGACUUCGUAUAUGCUGGCUUAGCUGCUUCAGGAAACACCACAAACAUUAUCAAUGCUGCUGUAACACCUGCAUUUGUUGCUCAAUUCCCAGGUCUAAAUGGCCUUGGUCUUUCUGCAGCAAGGUUAGACAUUGCUUCUGGUGGUGUAAUCCCUCUUCAUACUCACCCUGGUGCUUCUGAGUUAUUGAUAGUAACACAAGGUCGUGUCACUGCUGGGUUUAUAACAUCAGAUAAUUCAGUUUAUGUGAAGACACUUUCAAAGGGAGAACUUUUCAUUUUGCCACAAGGGUUGUUGCAUUUUCAAUUAGGUUAUGGUAAGAGAAAAGCUGUUGCUUAUGCUGUUUUCAGUAGCUCAAGUCCAGGGCUUCAAAUACUUGAUUUUGCAUUGUUUGCAAGCAACUUUUCUUCUUCUUUGAUUACACAGACUACUUUCCUUGACCCUGAACAAGUGAAGAAGCUUAAGAGUGUUCUUGGUGGUAGUGGCUAGACCUUUUUAGUUUGGUUGUUCAUGAAUCAUUGAUUCAUUGUUUUACUUAAAACAUUCCUUGUGUUGUUUCAGUUCAUUGGAAUUUGUGUAGGUUGCCCUAGUCAUUAAGUACCUUGUAUCAAUGUGUUUCAGUUAAUUUUCAUUGUUGCAAAUCUCAAUGUCAAGAUUAUUUCAAUGUAACUAUGUUUUGAAGGGUUUGUGAAUGUUUAUGGGUAAUUUUAUCCAAUAGCCUCCCAUGUUUUAAAUUGUAAUUAAGUUGUGUUUAUUACAAUUGUGGAAAAUUAUAAUUGAUAAGACUAUAAUU